UGCGAGUCGACGAGAACGGGUCUUAGCUUGCUAAGAUUGUCAGCUAAGUGGCGCACGGGUGAGUAAUAUAUAGUUAACCUGCCCUAGAGAGAGGGAUAACGUUUGGAAACGGACGCUAACACCUCAUAUGCCUUUAAGUCAAAAGACUGCAAGGGAAACAUUUAUGGCUCUAGGAUGGGACUGUACGGUAUCAGUUAGUUGGUGAGGUAAUGGCUCACCAAGACAAUGACACCUAACUGGUUUGAGAGGAUGAUCAGUCACACUGGAACUGAGACACGGUCCAGACUCCUACGGGAGGCAGCAGUGGGGAAUAUUGCACAAUGGACGAAAGUCUGAUGCAGCAACGCCGCGUGGAGGAUGACACAUUUCGGUGCGUAAACUCCUUUUAUAUAGGAAGAUAAUGACGGUACUAUAUGAAUAAGCACCGGCUAACUCCGUGCCAGCAGCCGCGGUAAUACGGAGGGUGCAAGCGUUACUCGGAAUCACUGGGCGUAAAGAGAAUGUAGGCGGGUAAUUAAGUCAGAAGUGAAAUCCAAUAGCUCAACUAUUGAACUGCUUUUGAAACUGAUAACCUAGAAUAUGGGAGAGGUAGAUGGAAUUUCUGGUGUAGGGGUAAAAUCCGUAGAGAUCGGAAGGAAUACCGAUUGCGAAGGCGAUCUACUGGAACAUUAUUGACGCUGAGAUUCGAAAGCGUGGGGAGCAAACAGGAUUAGAUACCCUGGUAGUCCACGCCCUAAACGAUGCACACUAGUUGUUGCUAUGCUAGACAUAGCAGUAAUGCAGUUA
Molecule: ribosomal RNA, 786 nt
Filed under: uncultured Arcobacter sp.
Lineage: Bacteria; Pseudomonadati; Campylobacterota; Epsilonproteobacteria; Campylobacterales; Arcobacteraceae
Description: bacterial SSU rRNA
Rfam family: Bacterial small subunit ribosomal RNA
Source: RNAcentral